Long non-coding RNA from Bos taurus (domestic cattle), 931 nucleotides. Lineage: Eukaryota; Metazoa; Chordata; Mammalia; Artiodactyla; Bovidae. The record is from Ensembl.
CGAUCAUUUGCAGAGGGAGGAGGGAGAAGUGAGAGCGGCUAGCAAAACCUCUGUGAUUUUCUGCCCUGGAAACAUGUGGAAGAGAUGUCCAGAGAAAAACGAGCAGGAAUUUUCAGAACAGAUGCUCGGGGUUUCUCCUCCAAAGGCCCAGAUUCUGGGAUCCGAGUGGCCCCCUGCAGGAGACCGUCCUCCUGGCAUGAACAGGCCAGUCUCCCUGGGAAGUGGCCAGAAACCAGGGUGCAGAUUGCAGUUCAGAGGAGCCAGAAACUUGGAAAGACACGACGUGCCCAGCAGAGAGGAAAACAGUUAAACGUUACUGAGCAAGCCCCAUAAGCACACAGCAGAAAUGAUCCACUUUGACCUCCACUGCCGCCCUUGUGAGGUACUCCCAGGUGACACAGUGGUGAAGAACCCGCUUGCCAGUACAGGAGAUGCAAGAGACAUGGGUUCCAUCCCUGGGUCGGGAAGAUCCCUGGGAGGAGGAAAUAGCAACCUACUCCAGUAUUCUUGCCUGGAAAAAUUCCAUGGACAGAAGGAGCCUGGUGGGAUGCAGUCCAUGGGUUCACAAAAUAGAAAGACACAAGAACCAGAGGCAGAAGAGGCUCAGCUAAGCAUAUCACCGGCCGGCCGGAGAGACGGCGACAGACAUCGGCCUCAUCCAUGCCAGUCUGGCUGUUACUCCGCCAAUUGAUUGUCUGAUUAAAACUCGGCAUGCUCACUUGAAAUGGGACAUUGACCCCCCAAAGACAUACUGUUCAGAAGGCGUGUUAGGGUCAGGGCUGGCCUGGAGCCCCACCGUUUCUGACAACAGGGUCUGUUCUGUCCUCUGAACUUUCCAUAAAUAGAAAUCUGUCCUUUUUGGACUUUAGCCUUUAUUUGUUUGAAAUGAACUGGAAACACCUGCUGUGUCUUUUCCAUCAUCAUCACCAGC